RNAcentral lists this ribosomal RNA (476 nucleotides) under uncultured bacterium. RNAcentral describes it as "bacterial SSU rRNA". It matches the Rfam family "Bacterial small subunit ribosomal RNA", at positions 364 to 830 of the family's 1533-position model. The record is from RNAcentral.
UUUCGCAAUGCCCGAAAGGGUGACGAAGCGACGCCGCGUGGGUGAGGAAGGCCUUCGGGUUGUAAAGCCCUGUCAGGAGUUAAGAAAUGUAAGUGCGCUAAUAUCGCAUUUAUUUGACAAAGGCUCCAAAGGAAGCCACGGCUAACUCUGUGCCAGCAGCCGCGGUAAUACAGAGGUGGCAAGCGUUGUUCGGAAUUAUUGGGCGUAAAGAGCACGUAGGUGGGUUCGUAAGUCAGAUGUGAAAGCCUUCUGUUCAACGGAAGAAUUGCAUCUGAAACUGCAAGUCUUGAGUGUAGGAGGGGAGAAUGGAACUUCUGGUGGAGCGGUGAAAUGCGUAGAUAUCAGAAGGAACGCCGGCGGCGAAAGCGAUUCUCUGGCCUAUUACUGACACUCAGUGUGCGAAAGCUAGGGGAGCAAACGGGACUAGAUACCCCGGUAGUCCUAGCUGUAAACGAUGGGCACUAAGUAGAGGGGUU